AAUUAAAUUGAAAUAAAAUACAGCAUGAAUACCAUACUAUACGCAAUGGAAAUGCAGUAGACCACUACCACUUAUGCAGGUCUGCCAACGUGAGAUUGUACACAGCACACUAUUGGCUGAUGAAAUGGAAGGUGACCAACCACAGCACUGUAUUGUGUGUCCAGGGUGCUGAUUGGCUCAGUGACUGUAGCUUCAGUCUGCUCUCAUACAUUGCCAAUACAUUCAGCAUCUCUCCUUGUCUACUUCACAUGGACAUUUUAUCGCUGUGCACAGUGUUGCUCUACGGUGUUGUUUUUCUGAAAGUUUUGUAAAAGUCUGAAUUUAUUUCUAACCCUAUGAUGCCACCCAAAUGUUCUGCGCCUUCUAAGGCUUGCGGUGGACCCCAGACCAAGAGGAAGAUGCUUACCAUUAGAGAAAAGGUGGAACUAAGCAAGGAGGCUGAGCCUAAGUAACUUCUUACACCUAUCCUUUGGCACCAGGGGUGGAGAACUCCCUCCACCCAGUGCUGAAAAGCCUAGAGGUGGGAGAGGCUAUUCAUUGAAUGCAAAGGCCUAGCUCAAGAGCUUCUUGAUAUGGUAAAGAAAGGUAAAAGCUAUGAGGCUGGAGGCUGCCAUUAUGGGAUCAACAGAUCUACUGUUUGCUACAUAAAGACAAGAAGAAUAUUAGGUCUACAGCAAUGAUGGCUUUUAACAAGACUGCAAAGGGAGAUGUCAACUCCUGCAGUAAGGCCAUUGUGAGGAUGGAGUCUGCAUUGGCCCUGUGGAUAAAGGACUGCAGGAAGAAGAAUAGCCUGCUGGAUACUACUGAUACCACCCAGACAAAGGCCAAGAAACCUUAUGAUAGUUCUGUGGAAAUCACAGAUGUUCAUGAUGAGCAAGGAUGAAGAUGAGGACAAAUGACACAGAAGCAGAACAGUUAAGUACUUCUCUUACCAGACCAACCCCAUUCAGCACCAGCAAGGGCUGAUUUGACAAAUUUCAAAGAUGCUUUGACGGCUCAAGUGUCAGACCACUGGAGGGCUCACAGGUACCAAGAAUAAACUACCUCCCUAUUGGGAAAUGCCACCUGCAUAGGCAGUUCCUAGAAGCACUAGCCUGAGACUAACUAAAACCACCCAUACUUGCAGAACAAGCUAUGUGCUAACUACCACCACUGACUAAAAGUCCCCACUGUCUAGCUGUUCCACUUUUUUAUCCUGCCUGUAUAACCCCUGCCUUAGCCAGGCCCAAGCACGACCUUUCUGAUCCCCACCAGAGGGUCCACCCUGGAGUGUACCCCAAUAAACUCUCUUCCAAUCACCUCUACUUCUCUCUGUGUGCUCUCACAUCAAGCAUUUCUGUGCAUAGAGAAGCCACCUCUGCAGAUAAAGCCAGAAUCGAGGAGUACCUGAACAACAUGUUUAAAUCCAUCAUCAAGGAAGGGGGUUAAAAGCCUGAACAAGACAGGCUUAUUUUGGAAACAGAUGCUCUCUCACACUUUGAUCAUGAAGGACAAAGCCAAAGCCCUUGGUUUUAAGGUCCAAAAAGAUGGAGUAACUGUGAUUAUGUGUGGAGAUACUAUGGGCUUUAGGAUAAAGCCAGAGUCUAUAAGUCAAGAAACUCAAGGGCCCUAAAAAAACAAAAGUAAGACUGUGUUGCCUGAGUACUGGAUCAGGAAACUCUUCAUGGAUGCUUGGUUCUACCAGUGCUUUACCCUGGAGGCUGAGCUUUAUUUGGCAGAGACAAACUGGU
Molecule: long non-coding RNA, 1730 nt
Organism: Perognathus longimembris pacificus (Pacific pocket mouse)
Lineage: Eukaryota; Metazoa; Chordata; Mammalia; Rodentia; Heteromyidae
Exons: 4
Source: RefSeq, a predicted model, not a curated record